Molecule: ribosomal RNA, 2758 nt
Filed under: Klebsiella pneumoniae
Lineage: Bacteria; Pseudomonadati; Pseudomonadota; Gammaproteobacteria; Enterobacterales; Enterobacteriaceae
Description: partial 23S ribosomal RNA
Rfam family: Bacterial large subunit ribosomal RNA
Source: RNAcentral
CACUAUCGUUAACUGAAUACAUAGGUUAACGAGGCGAACCGGGGGAACUGAAACAUCUAAGUACCCCGAGGAAAAGAAAUCAACCGAGAUUCCCCCAGUAGCGGCGAGCGAACGGGGAGCAGCCCAGAGUCUGAAUCAGCUUGUGUGUUAGUGGAACGGUCUGGAAAGUCCGACGGUACAGGGUGAUAGUCCCGUACACCAAAAUGCACAGGCUGUGAACUCGAAGAGUAGGGCGGGACACGUGGUAUCCUGUCUGAAUAUGGGGGGACCAUCCUCCAAGGCUAAAUACUCCUGACUGACCGAUAGUGAACCAGUACCGUGAGGGAAAGGCGAAAAGAACCCCGGCGAGGGGAGUGAAAAAGAACCUGAAACCGUGUACGUACAAGCAGUGGGAGCACCUUCGGGUGUGACUGCGUACCUUUUGUAUAAUGGGUCAGCGACUUAUAUUCUGUAGCAAGGUUAACCGUAUAGGGGAGCCGCAGGGAAACCGAGUCUUAACUGGGCGUUAAGUUGCAGGGUAUAGACCCGAAACCCGGUGAUCUAGCCAUGGGCAGGUUGAAGGUUGGGUAACACUAACUGGAGGACCGAACCGACUAAUGUUGAAAAAUUAGCGGAUGACUUGUGGCUGGGGGUGAAAGGCCAAUCAAACCGGGAGAUAGCUGGUUCUCCCCGAAAGCUAUUUAGGUAGCGCCUCGUGAAUUCAUCUUCGGGGGUAGAGCACUGUUUCGGCUAGGGGGUCAUCCCGACUUACCAACCCGAUGCAAACUACGAAUACCGAAGAAUGUUAUCACGGGAGACACACGGCGGGUGCUAACGUCCGUCGUGAAGAGGGAAACAACCCAGACCGCCAGCUAAGGUCCCAAAGUCAUGGUUAAGUGGGAAACGAUGUGGGAAGGCACAGACAGCCAGGAUGUUGGCUUAGAAGCAGCCAUCAUUUAAAGAAAGCGUAAUAGCUCACUGGUCGAGUCGGCCUGCGCGGAAGAUGUAACGGGGCUAAACCAUGCACCGAAGCUGCGGCAGCGACACUAUGUGUUGUUGGGUAGGGGAGCGUUCUGUAAGCCUGCGAAGGUGACCUGUGAGGGUUGCUGGAGGUAUCAGAAGUGCGAAUGCUGACAUAAGUAACGAUAAAGCGGGUGAAAAGCCCGCUCGCCGGAAGACCAAGGGUUCCUGUCCAACGUUAAUCGGGGCAGGGUGAGUCGACCCCUAAGGCGAGGCCGAAAGGCGUAGUCGAUGGGAAACAGGUUAAUAUUCCUGUACUUGGUGUUACUGCGAAGGGGGGACGGAGAAGGCUAUGUUAGCCGGGCGACGGUUGUCCCGGUUUAAGCAUGUAGGCUGGUUAUCCAGGCAAAUCCGGAUAAUCAAGGCUGAGGUGUGAUGACGAGGCACUACGGUGCUGAAGUAACAAAUGCCCUGCUUCCAGGAAAAGCCUCUAAGCAUCAGGUAACAUCAAAUCGUACCCCAAACCGACACAGGUGGUCAGGUAGAGAAUACCAAGGCGCUUGAGAGAACUCGGGUGAAGGAACUAGGCAAAAUGGUGCCGUAACUUCGGGAGAAGGCACGCUGGUGUGUAGGUGAAGUCCCUGCGGAUGGAGCUGAGACCAGUCGAAGAUACCAGCUGGCUGCAACUGUUUAUUAAAAACACAGCACUGUGCAAACACGAAAGUGGACGUAUACGGUGUGACGCCUGCCCGGUGCCGGAAGGUUAAUUGAUGGGGUUAUCCGUAAGGAGAAGCUCUUGAUCGAAGCCCCGGUAAACGGCGGCCGUAACUAUAACGGUCCUAAGGUAGCGAAAUUCCUUGUCGGGUAAGUUCCGACCUGCACGAAUGGCGUAAUGAUGGCCAGGCUGUCUCCACCCGAGACUCAGUGAAAUUGAACUCGCUGUGAAGAUGCAGUGUACCCGCGGCAAGACGGAAAGACCCCGUGAACCUUUACUAUAGCUUGACACUGAACAUUGAGCCUUGAUGUGUAGGAUAGGUGGGAGGCUUUGAAGCGUGGACGCCAGUCUGCGUGGAGCCAACCUUGAAAUACCACCCUUUAAUGUUUGAUGUUCUAACGUUGGCCCCUGACCGGGGUUGCGGACAGUGUCUGGUGGGUAGUUUGACUGGGGCGGUCUCCUCCCAAAGCGUAACGGAGGAGCACGAAGGUUAGCUAAUCCUGGUCGGACAUCAGGAGGUUAGUGCAAUGGCAUAAGCUAGCUUGACUGCGAGCGUGACGGCGCGAGCAGGUGCGAAAGCAGGUCAUAGUGAUCCGGUGGUUCUGAAUGGAAGGGCCAUCGCUCAACGGAUAAAAGGUACUCCGGGGAUAACAGGCUGAUACCGCCCAAGAGUUCAUAUCGACGGCGGUGUUUGGCACCUCGAUGUCGGCUCAUCACAUCCUGGGGCUGAAGUAGGUCCCAAGGGUAUGGCUGUUCGCCAUUUAAAGUGGUACGCGAGCUGGGUUUAGAACGUCGUGAGACAGUUCGGUCCCUAUCUGCCGUGGGCGCUGGAGAAUUGAGGGGGGCUGCUCCUAGUACGAGAGGACCGGAGUGGACGCAUCACUGGUGUUCGGGUUGUCAUGCCAAUGGCACUGCCCGGUAGCUAAAUGCGGAAGAGAUAAGUGCUGAAAGCAUCUAAGCACGAAACUUGCCCCGAGAUGAGUUCUCCCUGAGACUUUAAGUCUCCUGAAGGAACGUUGAAGACGACGACGUUGAUAGGCCGGGUGUGUAAGCGCAGCGAUGCGUUGAGCUAACCGGUACUAAUGAACCGUGAGGCUUAACCUU